UCACGCCGGUUUAAACUCAGAUCAUGUAAAAUUUUAAAGGUCGAACAGACCUAAUAUUAUCAGCUGCUACACCAAUAAUUAAUUUUAAUCCAACAUCGAGGUCGCAAACUUCUUUUUCGAUUAGAACUCUCAAAAAAUAUUACGCUGUUAUCCCUAAGGUAAUUUUUUCUUUUAAUCACAAAAUAUGGAUCAAAUAAUCAUAUAUUAAUGUUUUUUAAUAAAAAAAGUUAAUUAAAUUUUUCAAUCACCCCAAUCAAAUACAAUCUAAAAUUAAAAAUUUAUAUACCAAUAAAUAUUAAUAUUAAAUAUUUAUAUAAAACUCUAUAGGGUCUUCUCGUCUUUUAAAAUAAUUUUAGCUUUUUAACUAAAUAAUAAAUUUUUAAUUUAAUUUAAAUAGAGACAGAUAUUUUCUCAUACAACCAUUCAUACAAGCUUCUAAUUAAGAAACUAAUGAUUAUGCUACCUUAGCACGGUCAAAAUACCGCGGCCAUUUAAUUGCUCAGUGGGCAGGUUAGACCUAAAAUUAAACUCAAUAGGACAUGUUUUUAAUAAACAGGUGAAAAAUCUAUUUGCCGAAUUCCUUUAUUUAACCUAAAAUUUUUAAAUUAAUUUUAAAUUAAAAUUAUACUAAUUUUAUCAUUAUUUCUUAAUAUAAAAAAUUAAAAUUAAAAUUUUAAUAAAAAAUUUAUAGAAAAUAAAAAUUAAAUCUUAAAAUAAAUAAAUUAUAACAUUUUUUUAAUAAUAGACACUUCUAAUCUUAUAACUUUUUUCAAUCUCUAAAUCUAAUAAUUUUAUAUUUUCAAGCUUAUCCCUAAAAAUAUUAAAUAUUAAUAUUAAAAAAAUUAAAAAAUUAAAUUUUUAAUAAAUAAUAUUCAAAAUUAAAUUUUUUUCUUAAAAAACUAGAUAUAUUUAAAAACGAUUAACAUUUCAUUACAAAAAACUUAUUCAUAAUAUUUUUUAAACAAUAAAAAAAAUAAGUUCUUAACUCUUUUAAAUUCGAGAUAAUAAAAUAUUUUAAAUUAUUUAAUAAACCCUGAUACACAAGGUACAAAAACUUAAAUCUUCUUAUAAUUAAUUAAACUAAUUCUUUCACAAUACUUAUAAACUAUCAUUAAAAAUAUUUUUUCUAUAUGAAUAAUAAAAAUAAAUUAUUUAUAAUAAAAUAAAAUAAAAUAAAAUUAUUAAUAAUUUUUAAAUU
RNAcentral lists this ribosomal RNA (1198 nucleotides) under Mimosestes humeralis. RNAcentral's name for it is "partial 16S ribosomal RNA". Lineage: Eukaryota; Metazoa; Arthropoda; Insecta; Coleoptera; Chrysomelidae. The record is from RNAcentral.